Apis mellifera (honey bee) is the source of this 6575-nucleotide RNA transcript. It is a transcript of the gene named serine/threonine-protein kinase pakE, with no coding region annotated. NCBI's taxonomy places the organism in Eukaryota, Metazoa, Arthropoda, Insecta, Hymenoptera, Apidae. The record is from RefSeq and is a predicted model, not a curated record. The transcript is spliced from 4 exons.
AUUUGCUACUGUAAGUAGUAUUAUGAAAUAUAAGCUACCUUUCUGAUCACCCUAAAUCUAUAACGGAUAAUUUAUGUUAAGAUCUCAAUUAUGUGCAAUCCAUAUGUGUAUUUGUAAUAUAAAUCAUUAACACAACAGCAUAUAUUUUCAACAAUAACACGCUUGGAUCAUUUCCACUUCAUUCUACUCUUAAUGUUUUACAAAGAAAUGCAAAUGUGAGUGCCCGUUAUGCUGAUUUGAAAGGUAGCAAAAUUUCAACACUGACUACUAUUCAUAGCCUUAAGGUUUCACAAUUUCAUAAAAGUUUGAAGUCAUCCACUGGUGUUAAACUUUUUGAAUUACAGAAUACAUGUUUGAAUGAUGGUGAUGUAAAUUUAGUACAGUUUUUGCAAGAAAUUGCUUCAGAGCAGCAAUUUGAAGUAACUUAUGUUGAUAUUGAAGAAAAGUCUAUCAGUGGUAAAUGCCAGUGCCUUGUGCAGCUGUCUACUCUGCCAGUGGCAGUUUGCUAUGGUUGUGGUGUUACUAGUAAAGAUGCUCAAGCUAGUGCUGCUCAAAACGCUUUGGAAUAUCUCAAAAUCAUGACCAAAAAGUGAGCCAGCGCUUUGCUCCUGCCAGCUGUCACUAUUAACUGUAAAUCUCAUAAUAAUUUGCUGUCCAAAAACCAAAAUAACAAUACAGAUUCAAAAAUGUUAUCGAACAAUCAAGUAUCAGAUAAGAGUAAAAGCAAUCAAAAACUUGAUCACAUGGGGAACAAAAGUAGAUUAUCAAAACCAUCUAUCAGAGCAGUAAAUACUACGAUGGGGAAUAAAGAUACUACAUUAAGUACAAUCACUACAUCAACAUCAACUGUUACAGUUUCUUCAAAUAGGAUGAAUUCAUCUAUAAAAAAGAACAGUGGAAAUAACGAGAAUUUAAAAUCUAAUGAACAACUAACAAAGAAUACGUCACUUGUAACCACAAAUCAAUCUAAUUCUUUCAAUACUGUAAGAGGUGUUAAUACAACUUGUGUUGGUAGUAAUAUUUCUCACGAGAGUACAUCUAAAUCAAAAGAUUAUUCUACAAAAAAAUUUUCCAAUGAAAUUGAUUCAAAAAUGAAAAAUUAUCAAAUACAAUCAGAAUACAAAGAAUCACCUGUAAGCAAUCAAGAUUACAAAGCAAGGAAUAGUGCGAGUAUAAACAACUUAUCAUCGAGGUUCGUAAAUCAAUCUGUUCAAGCGUUACAUAGAGACAACCAUGGAACUUCUUCCAAUACACAUCAAUCUCGACCAGCGUCACGGAACGAUAACACUGCAUUUGCCAUAGCUAGAAAAGCAUUGGAGCAACAAAAUUCGACAUCGAAGACGACACCGAUUAAUUUUCCACCUUUACGUGCUCCACAGAGUAUCGUCAAUGUUCGUCAUCCUUUUGUCACAGAAGCAAGAACUAAACAUAAUGAUAUCGAUGGUUCAAACUCUAAAUCAAAAUUGAAUAUGGUGAGUUCUUUGCAAAGUGGUGUGAAAGAUCUCGAUCACGGUAGACAAACCUUUCAUAGCUAUGGCACGUCUCAGAUCGCUGGUAUUCCCAAUGUUCAAAAUUUAAGUAAUGUUACGGCGAAUAUAUCACCUUACGCUAGACCGGAAAGUUUUCCCCAACCAACUGUUGCAAGUAUGCUAUUUCCUGAUACUUCUCAGUUUCCUCAAUCACCUCCGUUCAAUACAACACAAAUUGGACAGCUAAAUCAAUAUCAAACAUAUGAUCCUGGUAGUUUUGCAACUACACCAGUGAAUGUAAACCCUGUAAUUCCUCAAUUUUCCGCAGAAAGUUCCAUUCCAUAUCCACAAUACGAUAAUCCUCCUCAAUUCGUGCAACCGAAUCAUUAUCCAACGGCGGAUAUAGCCAAUAGUCAAUAUCAAUAUCAAGCAGCAAGUGUAGGACAACUACAGGACUCACAGAUGUUUAUACAAAGUUUACAGAGUCCUAUCGCUGUAACAGAUCAAUAUGCUGCUCCAAAUUACGCUAGAACAGUCAGAACAGAAUUAAUACCACGAUUGAGGAGGCCACCAAGAUUCAACAAGUAAAAAUGAUUUUUUUUACACACACACACACACACACACACAUAUAUAUAUAUAUUCGAAUGAAAAUUUGUCACAAUUAUAAGAAGAGUAAAAUGAAAAAUGAAUUUAAAUAAAAUGAUAAAGAUCUAAAGUCAUGAAAUAUGAUAAUAUUUCAAUAAAAAUAAAAUAUUCGUGUAUCUUAUGCAUUGUUGCGAAAAUUAGGAACUAAUUUGCCAAUCUACUUAGUCGAUAUGUUAUAUGGAGGAGAUUUGGUAAAAAUUAUUUCAAUUUUUGAUCCAUUUUGAAAUAAAUUUUAACCAGUCUAUAAGAAUUGAUGUGUGUAUGUAAAUGAUAACUGGUAUUUUGGCAAAAAUAUAUAUAGAUACACGGUUAAUGAUCAUUAUUAAUAAUCAUUCGAAAAAAUUCUGCCUGAAAUGAUUUUACACACAUAUAUAUAUACAAAAAAAAAAAACAUUACGAAGUGACAAGAGAAAAAAAUCAUUUUGACUUGUUUCUAUCAUUCAAUGUGACACGGCAGGGCAUAGUGAGUUGAGCUCGAUUAUAAUUUUAUGACGUAAUUUAUCUAAAUAUCAUUGAAUUUGAGAGAACGAAUGAACGAAUGAGCGAACGAACGAACGAACGAGUGAGCGAGCGAGAGAGAGAGAGAGAGAGAGAGAGAAAGAAAAGAAGAAAAAAGAGGCAAUUGCAACCAGUUUGUUAAAUUGUACAUAAAUUAUGACUAUCGAUAAGAAUAGUUUCAUUUCUAUAAAUAUAUAGUAUUUGCGAAAAUGAUUCUGGACAAAUUUGUUUUCGUCGAGAUUGAUUAGAGAAAGCAAAUUUGCUAGUUAGUGGAGCAGAAUUCAUAAUCAUGUUCCACGUAAAAAUCCAUAGGGAAAAAAAAAAAAGUUUAUGAAAUAGAAGGGAAGAGAAAAAGAAAAAAAGCAAAAUUAUGAUUAUAAUAAUGAUAAGUCUUAGUUUUAAUGAAUGGUAUCCUACAAGCUAUACUUUGCAUAGAAUUAGUGGAGGUUUUCCAAUAUUUGCAUAUUACUUAGCUUAUUGCUAUGUUUUUAAUGUGCUUCACUAUUUAUAUAUGAGAAUGACGGUGUAACGAUGUUCAUUGCAAUGCGAUUAUAUAUAAAAACAACUCCUUUGUAGAAGAAAAUAAAAGAAAUAUGAGAUGUUUGAAAAUUAAAUAGUAAAGUAAAUAAAAUUUUUAGUCUUUCGAAUAAUUCGCUUAAUUUGAACAUCGUAUCUCCAUCAAACGUAUGCACAGUGCAAACGUAGCUUUCGGCGAUCCGAGUAUAUCCGAGGGUGAUCGCGAUAAAGUAACGAUAUAAUCUUUCAGUGGUGUAUGUUUUUUCUUUAGUAUGGUAGCUCAUAAACUCAUAAGCAUCACAUAUUAAUACGCGUAAGGUUAAUCGUUAAGAGAAAUCCUCAUCUAAAUACGCAUCUCGUAUUAAACAAAACUAUAUAUAUACUCGUGUGUAUUAAAUUUUUGAAUUGCUAAUGUGCGUCACCGAAUAAGACAUUUAUACUAAAUGAAGAGAAGAAUAAUAUUGCGUAUGGACGUAUAUAUAGAGUCAAGAGGAUACGAUCAUGAAUUGAAAAAAAAAAAAAAAUGGAAAAGAAAAAAAGUUAAGGUAAGAUGGGGAAAAAAAAAAAUGAAAUGAAGUAUAGAAAAGAUACAUAGUUGCAUAAUAAUGCAAUUUUUAAUCAUGAAUCAUCAUCCUGUUUAUGAAUGACAUAAUUACGAAAAAAAUGUAAUUUUUCCGUGACGACCGAGAAAAUAAGUGCGAGAAAAUAUUCGUUGUAAAAUCAAUCGACGAAUAUUACGAAUUUUUCGUCGAAUCUUGCGUUUAAUUAAUAUUUCCGCCUAAAGAAAUCUGUGUGUGCAUACGCAAUUUCGUCCAGCGAUGAUUUUUUUAUUCUCGCUCCCUUCGAUGAAUCGUUAAUAGUCUAGUAGCAUUAGAUAGAUAUGUAUUUUAUCUAUUUAUAUUUCUUGAAAAUCUAGAAAACGAAUUUAUUCAUACUGUUUUCUUUUUCGCAUUGAAAAGCAACUUGUUUGAACUUUUGGACGUUGUUUACAGAUAUAUAUUCUCAUACGAGAUUUUUGAAUAUCUCUUCAGUAGUCUGUAUAAAAUAUACAUUGUAGUUUGUAUACAUUGUAAUAUAAUAUCUGCAUAUAUUGCAAUCAUUAAUUAACGAAUUGUUACAUCAUCUUUAUUAUCUACGAAUAUAUAUCUGGAAAUUUGUCUAUAAGCUCGAACAAGUCUGAUAAUUCAAUGUUCAUUUAACUUGUACUGAUAUUAUUAUUGUUACUUUUCGAACAAUCGAGUAUUCUAAUAGGAUCGAAAGCGAACGUAACAUGCAAAUAAAAUGUGAAAUUUUACGUGUAAAAAUUUCACGUAUGAAAUGGUGUAUGCAUACUAUAUUAAAUCAUCGACUCGAUAUAGUGGUGCAAUAACAAGCUGAUGGAUAAUCGCGCAUAACUACGAUAUCUUGCCCCGCAUCUUGACAUACAUAUAUCGAUAGUACAAAAAAAGAGUUCAUUUUCUGUAAGUAUAAUUCGUGGGCCAGGGUAACAUGGAAAUGCGUGAUGCUGAAUGAGAGAGAGAGCGAAAGAGAAAUUAGAGAAAGCGAGUGAAUGAGCAAAACGAUAAAUGUGCCUCAACACGAGUAUUAGGAGGAGAUAAAGGAAAUUAAUGAAACUACCCUAAGGUGUGGAUGUUUCAAAAAAUCGCGACAUGAUUUCUUGGUUGGAGCAUAUUUCAUACAUUUGGAAAAUAGGCAUUACUUACAUGCAAAGUAUAGAAUGUGUAUGCGUAUAAACGGAAGUACAUUGCUAGGUUGAUAUUGCAAUCAAUUAUUUCUUUAAUGAUACAAAAAUAACGAUAAAAAGAGAGAGAAAAAACGAGAGGAAAGCGUUGUAGAAAGAAUAGAACAGAGCGAUUUGAUUUGUGGAUCAUGAUCAUUGAAUCUAACUAAAUUCUUUUCGAGCAAUUUGUAAGAGUUGUGUUCGAUCAUGAUACAAAAACGCUUAAUUGCUACUACGGGUGAUGCUAAUUGUUUUCUGUAAUUAUAUUUAUUUUUUUAGAUUUUAUGGAAUUAGAAAAUUCAUCGUAUAUUUUGUUUCGACGAUCGAUUCCGUUUUGCAUAAAAUAUUUUCGAAUUUUUUUUUUUUUUUUUUUUUUUUAAUAAUUAUAAAAUGCUAUUUUGCAUGUUGAGAGUUCGACUAGUUUCACGUUUAUCUUCUACGUGUAAGUAGUUUUUUGUGCCAAUCAAAAUGAAUUCGUUGCGAAUGGCAAAACGGAUACGAUACCAAACGGCGUUUAACGCUGAAAGGCGUCGACAAAAAAUUGUUGAAACUCGCCAAUUUGUAAGGGAACAUAUCAACGCAUAUGUAAAAUUAGAAGAAAAUAAUCUGUGUGAAUUGGAAAGAAAAAAAAAAUCUCUUUUAACGAGAAAUUUUAUAUAAUUUUUUUUUUUUAUUAUUAGAAAUCAUUCAAAUUGAAAAUGAUACGAUCUUUUGUUUCAUCCUUUUUGGUUCAGAAGAAGCUUAAUUUUUUUAUAUUUUUCUUUUCUUUUUUUUUCUAUUUUAUUUAUUAUUUUUUUUUAUUUUUAUUGUGAUUUGCUGUUUACUUUUGCUUUAUUGAAAAAUAUAUAUAAUAUUAGAUAUAAUAUUUUGAUCAAAAAAAAGUAACACAGUAAGAUUCUUCAAAUUUUACAAUGGUAUAUGUACCCUUAAAAAUAAAAUGAACAGUGUUUCUGAACCGUUGAUCAUAAUCGAAACGCCUCGUUGAUUAUUCUCAAUUUUGCUUUAAGUUUUUGUAUUGCGAAUAACCAGGAAAAUCCUCGAGAGCGUUAAGAUUGAAUCGAUUCAUCGAUUGAAAUCGUUAAUCGACGCGAUUAGUUUGCUUUUUUAAAAAAAUUAAUCGACUUGAUUAACUGCUUCAAAAAAUAAAAGAUAAAAAAAAAAAAAUAAAAACAAAGCGUCGAUUUAUCGUACCUUUAUACUACUGAUAUUCUCUUAUUUAAGGGGAGGGGACGAUAAUAUCGAGCAAAAAAAAAAAAAAAAAAAAAGUAAUUAGUGAGCGAUCCGGUUAUCAAACAGCGAGGCGAAAGCAUAAUAAAAAAGAAAUAUUGUGAUGCAUAAUGAGACAAAAUAUAAUAGAGAGAGAAAAAUAGACUUCCCAUCUUUUUCAAUUAUGGGGAAGCACAUCUAUGUGGACCAACUUAAGAACGGGAAAAGGAGACGAAUUUUUCGAUUCGAUUAAGCAAGUAAUUUUCUUUUUAUCAAUUGCUAUAUACGUAUAUAUAUAUGUUAUAUAUAUAUGUAUAUAUUUCGUUUCUCUUUUCUCGUUCGCACUUCUCAUUACAGAAGUGGUCUUCUUAGUUGUGCAAAAGAAGAAAAUUUUCAACGAUUUUCAAAGUUGACGGAUGAAUAAAAAAAUGAAAGAAAAAAGAAAAAAUUUAUUAGCAUUUUUCAAUGGGAUCCGUCGAGUCUCGUGUACGAAAUAAACAAUAAAUUUAUUAAGGCAAAUA